GACGAACGCUGGCGGCGUGCUUAACACAUGCAAGUCGAACGGAAAGGCCCCUUUGGGGGUACUCGAGUGGCGAACGGGUGAGUAACACGUGAGUAACCUGCCCUUGACUUCGGGAUAACUUCAGGAAACUGGGGCUAAUACCGGAUAGGAAUCCUUGCUGCAUGGUGGGGGUUGGAAAGCUUCGGCGGUUUUGGAUGGACUCGCGGCUUAUCAGCUUGUUGGUGGGGUAGUGGCUUACCAAGGCGUUGACGGGUAGCCGGCCUGAGAGGGCGACCGGCCACAUUGGGACUGAGAGACGGCCCAGACUCCUACGGGAGGCAGCAGUGGGGAAUAUUGCACAAUGGGCGGAGGCCUGAUGCAGCAACGCCGCGUGCGGGAUGACGGCCUUCGGGUUGUAAACCGCUUUCAGCAGGGGCGAAGCUUGUGGUGACGGUACCUGCAGAAGAAGCACCGGCUAACUACGUG
Molecule: ribosomal RNA, 465 nt
Filed under: uncultured bacterium
Lineage: Bacteria
Description: partial 16S ribosomal RNA
Rfam family: Bacterial small subunit ribosomal RNA
Source: RNAcentral